GGAGUUUGGACCGUGUCUCAGUUCCAAUGUGGGGGACCUUCCUCUCAGAACCCCUACCGAUCAUCGCCUUGGUGGGCCGUUACCCCGCCAACAAGCUAAUCGGACGCAUCCCCAUCCCGUGCCGAUGAAUCUUUGACGUAUAUCCCAUGCGGGACAUACGCACCAUCCGGUAUUAAUCCCGCUUUCGCGGGGCUGUCCCGGAGCACGGGGCAGGUUGGAUACUCGUUACUCACCCAUUCGCCGGUCGCCACCCAGAUGCAUUGCUGCGCCUCGUGCUGCCCCCCGACUUGCAUGUGUUAAGCCUGUAGCUAGCGUUCAUC
This 320-nucleotide ribosomal RNA is filed under the name uncultured Bacteroides sp. RNAcentral's name for it is "partial 16S ribosomal RNA". The record is from RNAcentral. Lineage: Bacteria; Pseudomonadati; Bacteroidota; Bacteroidia; Bacteroidales; Bacteroidaceae.